This 61-nucleotide transfer RNA is filed under the name Cavia porcellus (domestic guinea pig). It matches the Rfam family "tRNA", at positions 6 to 65 of the family's 71-position model. From Rfam's summary of the family: Transfer RNA (tRNA) molecules are approximately 80 nucleotides in length. Their secondary structure includes four short double-helical elements and three loops (D, anti-codon, and T loops). Lineage: Eukaryota; Metazoa; Chordata; Mammalia; Rodentia; Caviidae. The record is from Rfam by way of RNAcentral.
UAUAGCUUAGUGGCACAGCACGUGCCUGGCAAGUGUGAGGUCCUGAGUUCAAUUCCCAGUA